GGAGAGGUGCCCGAGCGGUUGAAGGGGGCGGUCUCGAAAACCGUUGUGCCUUAUGGGUACCCAGGGUUCGAAUCCCUGCCUCUCCG
RNAcentral lists this transfer RNA (86 nucleotides) under Chitinispirillales bacterium. RNAcentral's name for it is "tRNA-Ser". It matches the Rfam family "tRNA". Rfam says of the family: Transfer RNA (tRNA) molecules are approximately 80 nucleotides in length. Their secondary structure includes four short double-helical elements and three loops (D, anti-codon, and T loops). Lineage: Bacteria; Pseudomonadati; Fibrobacterota; Chitinispirillia; Chitinispirillales. The record is from RNAcentral.